This is a long non-coding RNA of Gasterosteus aculeatus aculeatus (three-spined stickleback), 565 nucleotides long. NCBI's taxonomy places the organism in Eukaryota, Metazoa, Chordata, Actinopteri, Perciformes, Gasterosteidae. The record is from Ensembl.
UUGAUUUUGGUCUGAAGUAUUGCGGCGAUAAACGGUGUGAACCGGCUCCCGUAAUGGAUUAAAACAGUGACUCAGGGAACGAAAAACUCCUCAAGGGGACGAGUGUCUGCAGCGAACCACGACGCACAACCCUGAACCGCGCGGUGGUUUUGAAACGUUGUCACCCAUUUUUGUUUGUCGUCCCGUGCAGAGACCAAAGACGACGACGCCGCCGCCGCCGCGCACGGGCGUCUCAGAGCUGCCCGCCGAUGCUCUGUGGUGCUUAACGGAAAACAGCUGCCGGACAAACAGGGAUCAGAGUUCUCCCGCAAAGCGCAGAGCAGCGAGCGAUGAGGAAGAAGGAAAAGAGUUCCCCGUCCAAUCAGAGACGCAGAUGGCCACGGAAGACGUGAGCACCAGCCCAUCCGGCGCCGGGGCGACUUCCGCCUGCCAAUUCGUGCACAGCGAAUCAAAUGCGAGCCCGUGAUUGAACAGCGGACGCAGUUUAACCUGGACACCCGUAUCUGACCGCGCUGAUUCUACUCUGAGGAAUCACUAAAUCCUGACCAAAUCACGCCAACACGUC